This 497-nucleotide ribosomal RNA is filed under the name uncultured bacterium. Its description in RNAcentral is "partial 16S ribosomal RNA". It matches the Rfam family "Bacterial small subunit ribosomal RNA", at positions 28 to 507 of the family's 1533-position model. The record is from RNAcentral.
GAUGAACGCUGGCGGCGUGCCUAAUACAUGCCAGUCGAGCGAACGGACGAGAAGCUUGCUUUUCUGUUGUUAGCGGCGGACGGGUGAGUAACACGUGGAUAACCUACCUAUAAGACUGGGAUAACUUCGGGAAACCGGAGCUAAUACCGGAUAAUAUUUUGAACCGCAUGGUUCAAAAGUGAAAUACGGUCUUGCUGUCACUUCUAGCUGGAUCCGGGCUGCAUGAGCUAGUUGGUAAGGUAACGGCUUACCAAGGCAACCAGGCGUAGCCGACCGGAGAGGCGGGUCGGCCGCCCGGGAAGGGGACCGGGGUCCAGACGCCUACGAGAGGGAGCAGUAGGGAAUCUGCCGCAAUAGGCGAAAGCAUGACGGAGCAACGCGACGUGAGUGGUGAAGGCCCUCGGAGCGUGAAACUCUGUUAUGGGGGAAGAACAUAUGUGUAAGUAGCUGUGCCGAGCUUGACGGUACCUAAUCAAAAAGCCACGGCUAACUACGUG